UACGUAGGGUGCGAGCGUUGUCCGGAAUUAUUGGGCGUAAAGAGCUUGUAGGCAGUUUGUCGCGUCUGCUGUGAAAAUCCGGGGCUCAACCCCGGACUUGCAGUGGGUACGGGCAGACUAGAGUGUGGUAGGGGAGACUGGAAUUCCUGGUGUAGCGGUGAAAUGCGCAGAUAUCAGGAGGAACACCGAUGGCGAAGGCAGGUCUCUGGGCCACUACUGACGCUGAGAAGCGAAAGCAUGGGGAGCGAACAGG
RNAcentral lists this ribosomal RNA (253 nucleotides) under uncultured bacterium. Its description in RNAcentral is "partial 16S ribosomal RNA". It matches the Rfam family "Bacterial small subunit ribosomal RNA", at positions 524 to 776 of the family's 1533-position model. The record is from RNAcentral.